This 484-nucleotide ribosomal RNA is filed under the name uncultured bacterium. RNAcentral's name for it is "partial 16S ribosomal RNA". It matches the Rfam family "Bacterial small subunit ribosomal RNA", at positions 30 to 507 of the family's 1533-position model. The record is from RNAcentral.
AUUGAACGCUGGCGGCAUGCCUUACACAUGCCAGUCGAACGGCAGCGCGGGAGCAAUCCUGGCGGCGAGUGGCGAACGGGUGAGUAAUACAUCGGAACGUGCCCAAUCGUGGGGGAUAACGCAGCGAAAGCUGUGCUAAUACCGCAUACGAUCUACGGAUGAAAGCAGGGGAGCGCAAGACCUUGCGCGAAUGGAGCGGCCGAUGGCAGCUUAGGUAGUUGGUGAGGUAAAGGCUCACCAAGCCUUCGAUCUGUAGCUGGUCUGAGAGGACGACCAGCCACACUGGGACUGAGACACGGCCCAGACUCCUACGGGAGGCAGCAGUGGGGAAUUUUGGACAAUGGGCGAGAGCCUGAUCCAGCCAUGCCGCGUGCAGGAUGAAGGCCUUCGGGUUGUAAACUGCUUUUGUACGGAACGAAACGGUCUUUUCUAAUAAAGAAGGCUAAUGACGGUACCGUAAGAAUAAGCACCGGCUAACUACGUG